AGAUAUUAGUAAAACAAUUACAUAACUUUGUCAAAGUUAACUUACAGGUUGAACCCCGUAUAUCUUA
Molecule: transfer RNA, 67 nt
Filed under: Lepilemur seali
Lineage: Eukaryota; Metazoa; Chordata; Mammalia; Primates; Lepilemuridae
Also listed under: 1 other name
Description: tRNA-Asp
Source: RNAcentral